CGCAUGGUUCAGACAUAAAAGGUGGCUUCGGCUACCACUUACAGAUGGACCCGCGGCGCAUUAGCUAGUUGGUGAGGUAACGGCUCACCAAGGCGACGAUGCUUAGCCGACCUGAGAGGGUGAUCGGCCACACUGGGACUGAGACACGGCCCAGACUCUUACGGGAGGCAGCAGUAGGGAAUCUUCCGCAAUGGACGAAAGUCUGACGGAGCAACGCCGCGUGAGUGAUGAAGGUUUUCGGAUCGUAAAGCUCUGUUGUUAGGGAAGAACAAGUGCCGUUCAAAUAGGGCGGCACCUUGACGGUACCUAACCAGGAAGCCACGGCUAAGUACGUGCCAGCAGCCGCGGUAAUACGUAGGUGCCAAGCGUUGUCCGGAAUUAUUGGGCGUAAAGGGCUCGCAGGCGGUUUCUUAAGUCUGAUGUGAAAAGCCCCCCCGGCUCAACCGGGGAGGGUCAUUGGAAACUGGGGGAACUUGAGUGCAGAAGAGGAGAGUGGAAUUCCACGUGUAGCGGUGAAAUGCGUAGAGAUGUGGAGGAACACCAGUGGCGAAGGCGACUCUCUGGUCUGUAACUGA
Molecule: ribosomal RNA, 575 nt
Filed under: Bacillus subtilis
Lineage: Bacteria; Bacillati; Bacillota; Bacilli; Caryophanales; Bacillaceae
Description: bacterial SSU rRNA
Rfam family: Bacterial small subunit ribosomal RNA
Source: RNAcentral